ACGGAAGGCAGCAGUGGGGAAUAUUGCACAAUGGGGGAAACCCUGAUGCAGCGACGCCGCGUGAGUGAUGAAGUAUUUCGGUAUGUAAAGCUCUAUCAGCAGGGAAGAUAAUGACGGUACCUGACUAAGAAGCACCGGCUAAAUACGUGCCAGCAGCCGCGGUAAUACGUAUGGUGCAAGCGUUAUCCGGAUUUACUGGGUGUAAAGGGGGCGUAGGCGGUACGGCAAGUCUGAAGUGAAAUCCCAGGGCUCAACCUUGGAACUGCUUUGGAAACUGUCGAACUAGAGUGUCGGAGAGGUAAGUGGAAUUUCUAGUGUAGCGGUGAAAUGCGUAGAUAUUAGGAGGAACACCAGUGGCGAAGGCGGCUUACUGGACGAUUACUGACGCUGAGGCUCGAAAGCGUGGGGAGCAAACAGGAUUAGAUACCCUGGUA
Molecule: ribosomal RNA, 434 nt
Filed under: uncultured Roseburia sp.
Lineage: Bacteria; Bacillati; Bacillota; Clostridia; Lachnospirales; Lachnospiraceae
Description: partial 16S ribosomal RNA
Rfam family: Bacterial small subunit ribosomal RNA
Source: RNAcentral